This 1697-nucleotide long non-coding RNA is filed under the name Olea europaea subsp. europaea. Lineage: Eukaryota; Viridiplantae; Streptophyta; Magnoliopsida; Lamiales; Oleaceae. The record is from RNAcentral.
UCAGAGCAAUAAUCUGUGGAAUUAACACCAGAAAAAAGGAAACUAUAUUACAUCUCCAAAGUUUAAAGUACAUAGUUCUGUUGCAUGCUAAAAACCUCUUCUCCUCUGCAUCUACUGGAUUGGAGGAGAUAACAAUAAAACCAUAUUGCAGCCAAUAACAUAGGCAGAGACAGUAAUAGAAAAUGGUAGAAUUAGCGCAUUGAAUGAAAAAUGCAAGGUUUGAAUAGGCACACAAUUCUAUCCAUUGCACUAAUAACGAAAGGCAUUACAUCACGAUAAUAUUGUUCAAACUAGACAACCAACAACCUAACAUUGAUUCUGCUAAAGCUAACACUGCUAACACAAACAAAAGAUUUGAUAUAACUAAACACAAAUGCACCGCCAAUCAAGCCGGCCCCUUGCCCUUGGUGUUCCACUCGAUUCUUGAAUUUCCCGUUCAGAUCGUCACGUUCACAGAAAUGUGGAGUUCUUGUUCAUCAUUUAGCCGAACUUGCGACUGAAAUAUGCGGGACAUAUCAUCAACUGAAUCUAUCGGAUUCGGCUUCGGAAACAUAACACCAACAUUCUUGGCUUUGCCGCUUGAUUCCCCUUCUUUGCACCACUCCCAGAAACCACAUUUAAGACUGCAACAUUUGAAGAAUUUGCCUUUGUUGGCUGUAGCCCAUUCUACCUCAAACCACUUCUGAAAACCUUGGUUACACAUUGGACAUUGGACUUUUAUCGGGCAUUCAGCAAAAAAGUGGGCUUUACUCCUACAGCUGUGACAUACUCUGGAGUUCUUUCCUGGCAUUCUACAAUGGGAAUGAAACACCAAAAACAUAAAGUUAUACGAUGCAUAAAGUUAUUCUUUACAUUAAUCAAGUCUCAGCUAUACACUUUGGAACAUUUAUAUAGUUUCGAACAUUAAUGAAGUCAUAGCUAUGAAGCAUUUCGAGCCCAUAACCGUUUUGAACAAAACUACAAAAUUUAUGCACUUUGGAACAUGAAUCAAGUCUCAGCUAUAGAUAUUUUGGGAUACAAGAAUAAUAUUAACAAUCCACCACAUUCACUCAUCACACUAACAACGAAAUUUAUACAAUAGCCAGAACAAUUCUUCAAGAACCACUUGUAUAAAAAAACAUAGUUUCGAAAGGAAGUCCGAAAGCCGAACUCAUCCAAAACAGGAAAAUUUCCCAAAAGUUUAACUGACCCAGAUAAUCUUCAACAAGAACAAUAACAAAAUUCGUGUUGAAUGCUAGUGUGUAGUACAUCAAAUGGCACCUUAAAGUUGUUCAAACCAUGUACCUUCCUAUCAAGCCCCUUUCCUUAAUAUUUUCGUCGAAUUGAUACUUCAAACCAAAAAAUUGCUACUGCCGUUCACGACAAUUGGGGAAAAUUUGAGAGAGGGCUUUUUCUUCUAGCGUGGCGCCGGAAACCCUCUGACGAUUCACCAGAAAUUUAUAUACAAUAGCCAUUCACGACAAAAGGGGAAAUUUUGAGAGAGGGGUUUUUCUUUCUAGCGUGUGUUUCGUCUCCUGUAAGAGUGAAAAUAAGUACGAGUUAAAAUAAGUAAGAGUUAAAAUAAAAACUUUAUUUGAAAAUGCUCUUUUCCUUUUUUGCCCUUCCAGCUCAGAUUGUAAGUCCACAUUGUAAGUGGACAUUGUACAAGUAGCAUUGUUGAUUGUCGGAUAAAUGACAUUAGAAUUAGAGAUCCAAGG